This 468-nucleotide ribosomal RNA is filed under the name uncultured bacterium. Its description in RNAcentral is "partial 16S ribosomal RNA". It matches the Rfam family "Bacterial small subunit ribosomal RNA", at positions 28 to 507 of the family's 1533-position model. The record is from RNAcentral.
GAUGAACGCUGGCGGCGUGCUUAACACAUGCAAGUCGAACGGAAAGGCCCAAGCUUGCUUGGGUACUCGAGUGGCGAACGGGUGAGUAACACGUGGGUGAUCUGCCCUGCACUUCGGGAUAAGCCUGGGAAACUGGGUCUAAUACCGGAUAGGACGAUGGUUUGUAUGCCAUUGUGGAAAGUUUUUUCGGUGUGGGAUGAGCUCGCGGCCUAUCAGCUUGUUGGUGGGGUAAUGGCCUACCAAGGCGUCGACGGGUAGCCGGCCUGAGAGGGUGUACGGCCACAUUGGGACUGAGAUACGGCCCAGACUCCUACGGGAGGCAGCAGUGGGGAAUAUUGCACAAUGGGCGCAAGCCUGAUGCAGCGACGCCGCGUGGGGGAUGACGGCCUUCGGGUUGUAAACUCCUUUCGCUAGGGACGAAGCGUUUUUGUGACGGUACCUGGAGAAGAAGCACCGGCUAACUACGUG